UACGUAGGUGGCAAGCGUUGUCCGGAUUUAUUGGGUUUAAAGGGUGCGUAGGCGGCCUUGUAAGUCAGUGCUGAAAUAUCCCGGCUUAACCGGGAGGGUGGCAUUGAUACUGCAGGGCUUGAGUAAAGUUGAGGUUGGCGGAAUUGACGGUGUAGCGGUGAAAUGCUUAGAUAUCGUCAAGAACACCGAUAGUGAAGACAGCUCGCUACACAUAUAUUGACUCUGAGGCACGAAAGCGUGGGGAUCAAACAGG
RNAcentral lists this ribosomal RNA (253 nucleotides) under uncultured bacterium. Its description in RNAcentral is "partial 16S ribosomal RNA". It matches the Rfam family "Bacterial small subunit ribosomal RNA", at positions 524 to 776 of the family's 1533-position model. The record is from RNAcentral.